RNAcentral lists this long non-coding RNA (2594 nucleotides) under Sus scrofa (pig). RNAcentral's name for it is "lncRNA (ENSSSCG00030009123.1)". Lineage: Eukaryota; Metazoa; Chordata; Mammalia; Artiodactyla; Suidae. The record is from RNAcentral.
CCAACCCGGACGUUCCACCGCCUGCGGCUCGGCACUUUCGCGGCCCUGCAAGGGCCCGCGGGCCGGGGCUGCGGACGCUCGCUUGGCUCGGCAGAAUCUGCUGGCUCGCGGAAUUCGCUCGCCUCCAUUGUUGCCCCUUCUGGCACCCACAUCCCCGGAACGUGGCCCUGCCCCACGGCCGUAAUUGUUCUCCGAAGGGCUCGGCGCUCCUUUUACCAGCCCUUCCCCUUUUUAAAGGACUUUCCCAUUCGCCUGCUUUUCCCCCCCGGGUUAGUGGUGCUGGGCCCCCCGCAUUUGGGGUGACGACUCAUCCCACCCUCACCCCCGUCUCGCAACUGGGAUAACCGGCACAUGAGAGGGGGCAGCGGCCCCAUUUAUGCGAACUGUUCAUUUGCUUAGAUCGGAACCGUGUGUUUUGUGGCUGUGAGUUAAAACGUGGAGGUCCAGGAAGUGACUGGCUAAAGGCAAAUCCUAUGACUUUAUCCCAAAAUGUAGGCCCGUCUUCCAGAUGACUCACGUGGUACAGUGGCUUACUCCAGAUGAGAACAAGCCAGAAUAUAAAUAUACCUUUGUUUAAGACUCUCUGUUUGCAUGUAACGGAAACCAACCUGAAACAGCUUAACCAAAAGGGAAGAAUUUAUCAUAAGGAUGUAGGAACUUCUUACAAAUGCCCAGAGCGGGAAGACAGCUACCUCCUAGCAAAAGACUAGAACCAGGAGUUGGAAAACUUCCAGGAACCCAAAAGCAUCUGAGGACACUGAGAAAUCUGCAGUCUGCCGCCCACAAGACAGCGUCUUCUGGAACCCAGGGCUGCACCCUCGGCAUGUGGAAGAUACGGAAGUCUCCAAGCUAGAGUCAAAUCAGAGCUGCAGCUACUGGCCUACACCACAGCCACAGCCAUACAGGAUCCGAGCCACAUCUGCAACCUACAUCACAGCUCACAGCAACACCAGAUCCUCAAGCCACUGAGCAGGGCCAGGAAUUUAACCCAUAUCCUCAUGGAUCCUAAUCAGGUUCAUUUGCCCUAAGCCACAAUGAGAACUCCCAACAUGUGAAUUUUGUAGGGACAUGAUGCAGCCCAUAGUACUUCUGCCAUCUAUAGGCUCUCAGGAUGCGUGGGACCGACCCCCAGAGUGCCAUCCUAGCAAGAACACUGGUGGCAGCCACCUCCCUUGCCUGUUGGGUGUCCCAUUAUCACUUUCCCUCUUACCUAAUAAUUCAGAGCAAAAAGAGAGGCUCUUAGGCCUGAAGUCCCUGAAAUCUCUCUAACCUUGAAGCUCAUCUCUUUCCAGACCUAGGUGCACCUCCGUCCAUUGCUUCUAGACCAGUUUUCCUAACAUGCAGAUCUGAUCAGAUCAUUCCACUGCUCAAAGUCUUCAGCUUCACCCUGGUCCACACUUGUGAGCAUUGCACUCAAGGCCCCCGUGACCAGUUCCCCUCUGGGUCUCUGCCCUCACAUCCUGCUCCCUGAUCUCCUGUUCCCGGUGUCCCAGCAAGACUGACCUUGUGCUGCUGUGAAAACACUCCUUCCAGAGGCAGGACGUUUGGGUCCCUGUGUUUUAACUCGUUGUCAUGGUUUUUUCUCUGUAGUUGUUGGAAAACCUUCUCCCCUUGUCUCCGCAAAGCUCCUUGUCCUUGAGAACCUUUGAACACCACCUCACCAGGUCACUUCCCAGACUCCUCUCCCCCAGAGCGAGUUAAUGCACCCUCCUUGGUCUUUUCACAGUCCCGUCAGCCCCGAGAGUGGGCCCGACCACACUGCGUCUUCUCUCUGCCUCCUCCCCUCCCAGCCCACGUCCCCACUAGGCAGAGCUCCUCAAGGGCACAGAUGGUGGUGUUCCUCUCUUACUCAUCUCUCCAUCUCCAGAGACAACACACAGCAAAGGUAAAAAAGAAAGGGAGGAGGGAAAGAGAACAGAAUUCAAUUCUCUGGGACUUAAACACAUAUUUGCACAUCACGCCAUUAUUGUGAAGGUAUCACCCUCUGUUUAAAGCUUAGCUAAAAGCACCUUUCGUCGUGCAGUUUCAAGGCAGGUUGCACAGUACACUAAGUACCCCGGAAGGCAGGGGCCCACGUCAGAGCGAAGCCCCACACAUUGCUUUGUCUGUCCCGGACCAGCGUACUCGUUGGUAAGGGGAUUCUCUUCCCCAUGACCCACCUCCGACAGUGUAGUUUAUGCAGUUCCAGGCACAGAUCUUACCCCUCGCCUUGAAGCUGGGCAUGUGAAGUCACUCUUCACUUGCUCCUGGCCACAUGACCUCAGCCUGGCCAAUCAGAAGCCUUCCCUGAGAUUUUCUCCCCAGAAUUAGUGAAGAUGACUCCCUCUGCCUCCCGGGUCAGGCUGCUGUGUGUGAUCCCAGAAAUGUGUUCCCUUCGUCUGGAGAGAGCCCAUUCCAGCAGAAGCAAAUAAAGCCAAGAAAACAAAAGCAGAAAUGAGAGAUGGAGGCAGAGAAUGGAGGAGGAAGGAGAAAGAGAGCGAUUGAGCCUAACCAAGUCAUCUUAAAUCUCUGGCUUCAUCUCUUCCUGUCCCCAUUGUUUUUUAAGCAAUUUAAAUUGCAUCUCUGCCCUUGCAAGUAAAAUGAUUAUGAAUAAU